Mastomys coucha (southern multimammate mouse) is the source of this 160-nucleotide small nuclear RNA. RefSeq annotates it as U1 spliceosomal RNA. The transcript has a single exon. The record is from RefSeq and is a predicted model, not a curated record. NCBI's taxonomy places the organism in Eukaryota, Metazoa, Chordata, Mammalia, Rodentia, Muridae.
AUACUUACCUUGCAGGAGAGAUGCCAUGAUAUUGAAGGUAGUUUUCCCAGGACGAGGCUUAUCCAUAGCACUCUAGAUGUGCCGACCCCUGCAAUUUCUGUAAAUGGGGAAAACUUGACUGCAUAGUGUGUGUGUGUGUGUGUGUGUGUGUGUGUGUGUG